This 519-nucleotide ribosomal RNA is filed under the name Salmonella enterica. Its description in RNAcentral is "bacterial SSU rRNA". It matches the Rfam family "Bacterial small subunit ribosomal RNA", at positions 269 to 780 of the family's 1533-position model. The record is from RNAcentral. Lineage: Bacteria; Pseudomonadati; Pseudomonadota; Gammaproteobacteria; Enterobacterales; Enterobacteriaceae.
CAAGGCGACGAUCCCUAGCUGGUCUGAGAGGAUGACCAGCCACACUGGAACUGAGACACGGUCCAGACUCCUACGGGAGGCAGCAGUGGGGAAUAUUGCACAAUGGGCGCAAGCCUGAUGCAGCCAUGCCGCGUGUAUGAAGAAGGCCUUCGGGUUGUAAAGUACUUUCAGCGGGGAGGAAGGUGUUGUGGUUAAUAACCGCAGCAAUUGACGUUACCCGCAGAAGAAGCACCGGCUAACUCCGUGCCAGCAGCCGCGGUAAUACGGAGGGUGCAAGCGUUAAUCGGAAUUACUGGGCGUAAAGCGCACGCAGGCGGUCUGUCAAGUCGGAUGUGAAAUCCCCGGGCUCAACCUGGGAACUGCAUUCGAAACUGGCAGGCUUGAGUCUUGUAGAGGGGGGUAGAAUUCCAGGUGUAGCGGUGAAAUGCGUAGAGAUCUGGAGGAAUACCGGUGGCGAAGGCGGCCCCCUGGACAAAGACUGACGCUCAGGUGCGAAAGCGUGGGGAGCAAACAGGAUUA